RNAcentral lists this ribosomal RNA (292 nucleotides) under uncultured bacterium. Its description in RNAcentral is "partial 16S ribosomal RNA". It matches the Rfam family "Bacterial small subunit ribosomal RNA", at positions 44 to 334 of the family's 1533-position model. The record is from RNAcentral.
GUGCUUAACACAUGCAAGUCGAGUGCGCGUCUGUAGCAAUACAGAUGGCGCACGGCGCACGGGUGCGUAACACGUGGGCAAUCUGCCCUUCGAUGGGGAAUAUCUUCGGGAAACCGAAGCGAAUUCCGCAUAACAUUCCUUGGACUUCGGUUUGAGGACUCAAAGCCGUAAGGCGUCGAAGGAGGAGCCCGCGCCCGAUUAGCUAGUUGGUGGGGUAAUGGCCCACCAAGGCAAUGAUCGGUAGCUGGUCUGAGAGGAUGGCCAGCCACACUGGAACUGAGACACGGUCCAG